Molecule: ribosomal RNA, 497 nt
Filed under: uncultured bacterium
Lineage: Bacteria
Description: partial 16S ribosomal RNA
Rfam family: Bacterial small subunit ribosomal RNA
Source: RNAcentral
GAUGAACGCUGGCGGCGUGCCUAAUACAUGCAAGUCGAGCGAACAGACGAGGAGCUUGCUCCUCUGACGUUAGCGGCGGACGGGUGAGUAACACGUGGAUAACCUACCUAUAAGACUGGGAUAACUUCGGGAAACCGGAGCUAAUACCGGAUAAUAUAUUGAACCGCAUGGUUCAAUAGUGAAAGACGGUUUUGCUGUCACUUAUAGAUGGAUCCGCGCCGCAUUAGCUAGUUGGUAAGGUAACGGCUUACCAAGGCAACGAUGCGUAGCCGACCUGAGAGGGUGAUGAGCCACACGGGAACUGAGACACGGUCCAAACUCCUACGGGAGGCAGCAGUAGGGAAUCUUACGCAAAGGGCGAGAGCCUGACGGAGCAACGCCGCGUGAGUGAUGAAGGUCUUCGGAUCGUAAAACUCUGUUAUUAGGGAGGAACAAAUGUGUAAGUAACUAUGCACGUCUUGACGGUACCGAAUCAGAAAGCCACGGCUAACUACGUG